This is a long non-coding RNA of Mastomys coucha (southern multimammate mouse), 393 nucleotides long. RefSeq lists it as uncharacterized. The record is from RefSeq and is a predicted model, not a curated record. Lineage: Eukaryota; Metazoa; Chordata; Mammalia; Rodentia; Muridae. The transcript is spliced from 3 exons.
UCUCCCUCCUGGGGGAGAGGAGGUGGAGGAUGCGGAGGAUGAGGUGGACGAGCCCUGAAUGACCCUGUCGAGCCAGGGCUCGAUGCCGGAAUGGCUCUGGAGCAGAGCAGAGAAUCAUUCCCAACCACGCCUCCAAAGAGAAUCAUGAAUUCUCAAAGCGGAGCUGGAGAGACUGCUCGGUGGGUAGAGAGGGCUGAUUGGGUCAGCCUGGCGGGCCCUUGCCCUCUAAUCUGACAACCAGAGUCCAUUCCCUUGAACUCACAACGUGGAAGGAGAGCACCAGCUCCGUGCAACCUGACCUCUGACCUCCCCACCGUGACCCUAGCUUGCCCCCCACGACCCCACCCCCAGUGUACAAAUACUUGGAUCAACAUUCCCAUAAAAGAAGAAACC